AUAUUGCAGAGCAACUUGAAAGGGGGAGCUGGCCGCGUAGGAGGUGAGAGCCAGCCGCAAAAAUCCGUUCGGCGGCAUUUUCUCUUCAAACCCGCCCGGUCGGAUGUGGCAUUUGAAGAAAGAAGGCGUGGGUCAAUAAUCAACCCGCACUUUCUCCUCCAAACUGCUGACGCGACUCUCACCGCCUUCUCAGCUAAGCCAGCUGCCGGGAAGGCCAGCUCUCCGUAAGAACCUGCCAGGGGAAGGGAUUCUCUGGGCCAAGGGGACCGAGGGCUCCCGAGCAAGGGCUGGGGCGCCCUGAAAGCAUACCUUUCCACUGGCGCCAAGACCCUGCCGGGCAAAACGCGGGGACCAGACCUGAGGAGCCGUGGGAGCCCAGGGAGAUCUGGGGCGGGAGCUUCGUUCCGGCCAGGGCCUCUAUCCGCCCCGAUACGUGGCUCCUGGGCCGCGGGCCUCAGCGGGCAGAAGUGGGGCUCCGACCUCAAGAUGAAGGUCCAGCGUCCUGGCAUGCAGAUGGUCGGUGCCCCAGCCUCAAGCCGCUCUGCUUAAAUCCAAAGGACUGGCUUUGGAGCAAGCGUAGGCGAGAUUAUUUUAAAAUAAUAAUUUAUGCUGGCGGAAGGUUUUUAUUUGUUGGUUUGCUAUUGGUGUUUUGUUUUUUAAGCGAAAAUGCCGAUUGUUGAUUUCCACCUCCAGAAAUUACCAGCCGCCGCCGCUGCGCCCUUUCUAGACAAAUCCCACAGCAGUUCACCCGGCUCCCCCAAAACCGCAGAGCUUUUCUUUACUGAGAGGACCCCUUGGUUCCACCAAUUCCCCCAAAUCCCCGUGGCUCCCGAUCUCUCAUCCAGGGGGACUAGAAGAAAAGAUUUUCUCAGCACUAGAAGAAUACUUGGAGCAGCAAAGGUGCCCGUGGUGUCUUUCUACCAUUCAAGGGGUGUCCUCCUGAAGGCGUCUGAGAGGGCCUCUGGCGGUUCCAAGGCUGUGCAGCCGGGGAGGAAGGAAAAGGAAACGCCAAGACAUAGAAAACCACGCUUUUCCCGUAGGAAGAACCGAUGAUGAGCCCUGAUGAAAGAAGGAAGAAGACCCGCUGUCUGCGAAGGCCUAAAGGUUAGAAAUACAGCAAUUUUUCUCAUGCCGAAGGAAAGGCAAAAUGGUCUAAGAAACUGCAAGAGUGUGAUACAAGUUUUCCUCAACAGCGAGCUGGGACUGGCGACAAUUUCUUAACUCACAGCCUCCGCAGUCGCCUUAGUCGACAAAGAGAGCAGCCCACGCAGCGGCCGCCGCGCCCGUGCCCGUGGCCUUUACUUGCUUUUGCCCUGAAGUUCAGUGUAGUGGUUUGUUUGGGGCUUGCAGGAAGAAACAAACACACUCCCUCUGACUCUCCACAACCCAUCUUUGCCUUCUGCAACCGCUUCUCCUGCCCAUCGCUGGUUUUGGGGUAGGCUCUUUGUCUGCCUGAGGCCCCGCACUCGCAGGGCAAGAAGCUUAAAGGAAUCCAACUCCAAACUCCUCCGAAGUUAAAUAUUGACCAGAACCUCUUUCAACAGGCCGCGGUUGCCAGGAACCGUGGAGGGCCAACUCCUCCCAACCGCCCUGGUGCAAAGUCCCACGCGGCGAAGAGUUUUGGAGCAGCGCUUACCUAGAAAGAUGUUUAAAUUCUGAACCAGGAAUUGUCUCCAACUCCAGGCGCUCAGGGAAUCGCCUUUUCCGGUGUCCAGGCGCUCUGCAGACAAAUAAACAGCAGAAGGUGAAUGGCGGCUGCGAGGGAAGGGAGUUGGAGGCCGGGAGUGGGAAGCGAGGCUCAUGCGGGCGCCAAGGUGGCCCUGGGGGUGACGCGAACAUCAGGGAGUCACCAGGGCACUCGUCCGUGUGGCGCACUCAUUGCUCGAAAUGUUCCAGUCUACAAAUGGUCCGAAGAUGGUGAUUUAUUUUUGUAAAAUAAAUACAUACUCCAUCUCCACACCCAUACUUUCUCCUUUUUCUUUCUUUUUUUUGGCGGGGGAGUGGGGAAGGAAAGGACAUGAAGCAAACAGAGGAAGCUGAGAAGGUGGAAGUGGCUUUGCUGGUGGUGUGGGCUGCUUUCAGAGAGCUCUCUCCUCAGGCACCACAACUUGGAGAAUGUGAAUGCUUGCUUUAUUUUCCUUUCCUAACAAAAGGAAGCCUUGUCUGGGAGCAUUCAAUCACGGACUCUCCUGAAACCUCACUAAUAUGUGUUCAUUUCUGUAGGCGCGAAAUCAGACCCGGGUUCAUUCCACUGGCCAGAGGCAGUCUUGGGAGGAUUUGUGUUCUGGUUUAUUCAACUCUGGGUGCGUUCCUUUUAGGUCCUAGUGGGCUGGCGGGGCUACCGCAGCACCUAGUCCCUCAGAGCAGGCCAGCUAAGGCUGCUGGAAACUGAGAGGGACGCCGGCUGGUACAAUACCUGCUCAGGGGCCCUGCUCCUGCCUGGCCUUGCGCAACG
Molecule: long non-coding RNA, 2455 nt
Organism: Homo sapiens (human)
Lineage: Eukaryota; Metazoa; Chordata; Mammalia; Primates; Hominidae
Gene: HOXA-AS2
Product: HOXA cluster antisense RNA 2
Source: Ensembl